CUUCCCUUAUUUUACACUGUCAAAAAAUUAAUAGCCAUUAAUAUCUUCUCAGUGUUCUACAAGAGGUCCCAUAUUUUGGGUUUUGAUGGCAUUCCACUGUAUGAAGUGUUAAUCCUGUCAAUUAGAGGUGGUAUUCUCCCAGCAAUUAGAGUACUCUUUGUUGUGUCCCCAUACUUGAAGAAGAAAAUUCUGAGAGAAGUAUAUAUGGUGAUGAAAAAGAAAGAACCCUCUCUGCUGGUUCACCAACUGCUGUCCAUUUCUCAAAGUCACCAAAAAAACUAAGUACUAACCCUGAAGUCUGUGGUGAUGAAGAAGGUUCAAGUAGAAAGUUUCUGCUCAAGAUCCAACUUUACUUUAAUUAAAAAUUUGUAUUAAAUCUUCAUAAUUACAUUUUUGCUAAAUGUUGGGUAUUUAAAAAAUUUGAUCAAAGCAAAACUGAUCAGGUGCAGUUUCCUUUACUGAGGAAGUUUGGGGGGAGUUUGGCUUUGUGGAAAAUUGGCACAAAUGGGCAAUUCAAUCCUGAAUAAAUUUUAAUGAAGUCAGGAUAUAAUUCUCACUACAUCUGUAAAAAUUAUUUUGGACUCCACCUCUUUUGACAAAGAAUGAUAGAAUGAAAUACGUAACACCUACCCCUGCUAAAUAUUUUGGUUUGGGUGGAAAUUCAAGAGAUAACUGCAAGGAAUUAAUAUUACUACAUUAAAAACAACAAAUCAUUGUCCCUCUUUAAGGCAAAGCUUAAAAGUUUGUAACUAAUGCAAUAUCUCAUUGUUGAGUUAUUUUAAAAUUAAUUUAAUAACUGUAAUAUCAAUUUUUGUUUCCUAGGUAUUUUUAUUUUAUUAUUUGCCGGUGUUUAUGUAUUGAGAGAUUUUAAACCGUUAGCUAACGUGACCAGAAACAACAAGCGCGCGCGGAAAACUACCAGUCUUUGCAUUUGCUCACGUCAGCAGCGUACACCCAUGGGCAAAUGGGGGACACUAAAUUUACCAAUCAGAGCGCGCGCUUUACUUUAGUUAUGUUAUAAAGGCUUUUCCUUACCUUGAGCCAAGACGAUUGUGCACAUUGCGGUCCUAUAUUUUCACUCAGAUGGAGGCAUGGGUGGGUAACAAGGAAGAUAAGCUUGUCUAUCAUUGCAACUGGCUAUUGAUUUCUUUAAUUAUUUUACGAACAUAAUCAUCAGUUGUUGUUGAGGAGCCUUAAUUUUCUCGGACGGUUAUUACGAUGCAAAAUAGGUAAAUGCCAGACUUCUCGUAGACAGUGUACUUGCUUUGGAAAGUGUUUGCGAAAUCUCUUUCAACAUCAUUAGCCUGAGGAUCAGGCUCUCUAGCAUUUAUGUUAUCACGUCUUAAUAAUUGUUCUGACAUCUGGAAUCAUUGCGGCAAAAAGAAUGCUGAUAAACUGGAGAAAAUUAAUGA
Molecule: long non-coding RNA, 1412 nt
Organism: Stylophora pistillata
Lineage: Eukaryota; Metazoa; Cnidaria; Anthozoa; Scleractinia; Pocilloporidae
Source: RefSeq, a predicted model, not a curated record